GGUUAAGCGACUAAGCGUACACGGUGGAUGCCCUGGCAGUCAGAGGCGAUGAAGGGCGUGCUAAUCUGCGAUAAGCGCCGGUAAGGUGAUAUGAACCGUUAUAACCGGCGAUACCCGAAUGGGGAAACCCAGUGUGACUCGUCACACUAUCAUUAACUGAAUCCAUAGGUUAAUGAGGCGAACCGGGGGAACUGAAACAUCUAAGUACCCCGAGGAAAAGAAAUCAACCGAGAUUCCCCCAGUAGCGGCGAGCGAACGGGGAGGAGCCCAGAGCCUGAAUCAGCAUGUGUGUUAGUGGAAGCGUCUGGAAAGGCGCGCGAUACAGGGUGACAGCCC
This 336-nucleotide ribosomal RNA is filed under the name Salmonella enterica. Its description in RNAcentral is "partial 23S ribosomal RNA". It matches the Rfam family "Bacterial large subunit ribosomal RNA", at positions 1 to 373 of the family's 2925-position model. Lineage: Bacteria; Pseudomonadati; Pseudomonadota; Gammaproteobacteria; Enterobacterales; Enterobacteriaceae. The record is from RNAcentral.